Molecule: ribosomal RNA, 445 nt
Filed under: uncultured bacterium
Lineage: Bacteria
Description: bacterial SSU rRNA
Rfam family: Bacterial small subunit ribosomal RNA
Source: RNAcentral
GUGAGGAAUAUUGCGCAAUGGAGGCAACUCUGACGCAGCCAUGUCGCGUGCAGGAAGAAGGCGCUACGCGUUGUAAACUGCUUUUAACCGGGAAGAAACCCCAGGACGUGUCCUGGGUUGACGGUACCGGAGGAAUAAGCACCGGCUAACUUCGUGCCAGCAGCCGCGGUAAUACGAAGGGUGCAAGCGUUAUCCGGAUUCAUUGGGUUUAAAGGGUGCGUAGGCGGAGCGUUAAGUCAGUGGUGAAAUCCUGCAGCUUAACUGUAGACUUGCCAUUGAUACUGGCGCUCUUGAGUGCGCUUGAAGUGGGCGGAAUGUGCCGUGUAGCGGUGAAAUGCUUAGAUAUGGCACAGAACACCAAUUGCGAAGGCAGCUCACUAAGGCGAUACUGACGCUGAGGCACGAAAGCGUGGGGAUCGAACAGGAUUAGAAACCCCUGUAGUCC